GCCGCUGCUCUGGCUCUUCCGGAAACGCCCUUCACGUGGCAGUCACGUGACAGGCUCUGGGUGGGGCCCCGCGGCUUAGUUUCUCGGACUUGUGUCGGGAAGACGAAAAAACGAAGCUCUGAGGAGACACAUAUGUUACACACAACUGGCAGUAGCAGAGAUGUGAUCCAAACCCAGGCUGCUGAGUAUUGUGAAAAGAGAUCUGAGCUUGGAAGAUUGGACACGGAUUCCAGUAGUGAUGCCCAACCAAGUGGAGAGAUUUCUCUGAGACUCAGUUUUAUCAAACAAAAGCCAGAAAUUUUACUUGGUCUGUUUGGUUUAGAAGAAUCCCGAAGCAUCAAGUAAAAUAAUUAAUGUGAAUAUAAUUUUAAAAAUAUGAAGUUUUAGGAAAAUAAAUAUCACUCAUAAUCAUUUCAGUCCAUGCUCAUUUCUUUAUCAGUGUAGAUAGACCACACUGCAGUGCUUUUCAGUCUUUUUUCUUUCCUCUUUUUGCUCCUGUGACUCUUCUCUCCCUCCCCUUCUUUUCUCCCAACAUCAAGUGGUCAAAGUGCCUGUUUAGUUUGGCCAUUGGUAGAAUGGGUCUGAAGACCACAGCUGAGGUUACUACGUCAGUAACUUUCUGCUAAAAUUCAAUGAAAAAAAAAACAAAAAACACUGAGAAACUAUUUAUAGCUGUGCUCCUCAAACCAGAGAAGGUCAGAAAACAAACCAAAUCCUCCAAAUCCUCUACUUUUCACUCGUGUGUACGAGUCUUGGUAUUUGAUGUUCACUUGCACAGGGUAUCAUAUGCAGUAUGUUUAUUUUACAAAUAAGCAGUUUGUUUUGGUAGAGCCAAUAUCUGGAAAAACACCUUCUCUAGGCAUUGUUUAGAGAAUAAUAAGGAUAAAGUGAAUUUUAAAUGAAAUUCCUUAGAGAGAUCUGUAAUUCAGGCAACAGAUGUCAAAGUGAAAUCAAUCCCUGAUUCUUUCUUACGUGACUUCACUUGAACAUGAAUGAACCCUAUUGAAUAUGUAUUGCAUGUUAUUUUCCCUGUAUCUUUUCUUUUUCUUUGCCUUUUUUCUUUAGCACCUUUUAAUUUUCAUAUUAUCCAACCCCAGAAGCUGAUAGGAGAUAUUGGGCAGGUCAGAAUUCAAGAGCUGUGACCGAUGACAGUGAUUUGAGAGGAAGGUAUACAGUCUCUCUUUCCUGCCUCAAAGUUUAUAAAGAGUUAAAAAAAAGUUUAAAAAUAGGAACAGAGACAGUCAAUAAAGACAUUUAGCAGUUUUAGCAGAACAUAAAGUUACCUUAAGAACAAGUAGUGAUAAUUGGUUAAUUAGAAGUAGAAGAUUGGCUAGGUAUUAAGAGAUUUCUGAGAAGAAAGCAUGAAAAUAAAGGAGUAAAAGCUGAGCUAUAAAGAUAAUUCUCCUUUUUUAAUGUCUCAAGUUCAAAAAAUAUUGGUGAUCUUUUAGAUUUUACGAAAUAGUGCCAUGUAGAAAACAGUCGAAGUAAUUAAAACAGGAUCAUUCUAGAGCAGAAUGAAUAGUUUGCUUUAUUCACUGAUGAUCCACCAAUUUAAAAAAUGCUGAAUAGAAAAGAGAUUUAAGUGUUGACAUUCUCUAAGCUGAUAUUAUUAAUAGCUCAAAAUUCUAUUUAUUUAAACAGAUGCAGUAAUCAGCAUUAAGGAAGUGAGCUGUCUCAUGAUUUGGGGGGCAGGAGGAAGUUAUCUCCUUACAAAGGAGAAUGAUUAAAAGUCCUAAAAUUUUUAUUACUUAUUCAUUUACAAAAUUGAAUUUCUAAUUUACAUACAUAUAGUAAAAUUAACUGUGCGUAUUUGUGUGUGUGUGUGUGUUAUGUGUUUUGACAAAUGUGUACAAUCGUGUUACCUCCACCAUAAUCAAGAUAUAGAAGAGUGCCAUCAUUCCAAAGAAACCCCCUCAUAUUGUCACUUUGUAGCAAAACCUCUACCCCCUUCCCUCCCCUUUUAAACUCUGUCAACCACUGAAAUGUUUUCUGUCCUCAUAGUUUUGCCUUUGCUAUAUUAUACUGGACCAAGCGAUAGAGACACUUUACACAAAAGGAGAGGGAGACACAGUCAUGGGAACAUGCCCAUGAGAUCAACUGGACCUAUUCCAUGCUGCACCACUCAGAAGCUGACAGUUGGUUAGAAUAAUGAAAUGGCCCCAUGAGAUGCCAGCUUGUUGAACAAACUCUGUAAAGAUAGGAUUCAUCCUCCAUGAUGAGUGUAUACUCUAAGUAAACAAACAUUGUUUUGUUUAUUCUGUGUAACCUGUGGACCACUUGGAUAUGAGAACUCGGGAGUAAGUAGGAAUGGCUCUAUUUACUAUCUUGCCCAGAGGCUCACUAGGAUGCAUUUGUGUUAUGUAAAGUCAGGAUUCUGAAUUCUGCAGGUUUAGAGGGUUUUCAGAGGGAAAAUGCUUUCAAUACAGGAUAUUUCAAUACAGGAUAUUCAAUAUCAUUUCAUUUCAAGCUCUGUCAAUCCAGUUACUUUAGUUGAUCACUAACUCAAAGAAUAAC
Molecule: long non-coding RNA, 2514 nt
Organism: Acinonyx jubatus (cheetah)
Lineage: Eukaryota; Metazoa; Chordata; Mammalia; Carnivora; Felidae
Exons: 3
Source: RefSeq, a predicted model, not a curated record